Molecule: long non-coding RNA, 570 nt
Organism: Zingiber officinale
Lineage: Eukaryota; Viridiplantae; Streptophyta; Magnoliopsida; Zingiberales; Zingiberaceae
Exons: 2
Source: RefSeq, a predicted model, not a curated record
GUAACUUAGGGUUUGAAAUAAAAGACCUAGGUAUUAUACCUAUACCUCCCGAUUUCCGGUUGAUUGUGGCUCGAAUCUCCGUUCCAUCUCUACUCAUCACCUUCGCUGGUGUUGAUCGGCUCUCCACCAAGCUCAGGUUUCCGAUCAAGCACCAAAAGAUCUCGGUGGAGUUGCGAUUGGAUGUGGAGUCCCUUGACCACCACACCGGCGGCACGACUACAGCUAGGGCGAGGGCUCCGACAGAGGAACGAGGAAAGGAAGGCAAGUACUCUGUAAUAUGAUGGUAUGAGAUCCGCAAGGUAGAGGAUAGGAGCUUGGAAGAGUUGAUAUGCUCACCGAUUAUGUUCAGCAGGUGAGGAUAACUUCCAGGAUAUGCCAGAAGGCCCACGGACGAAGUAGACGAGGAGGCGGGAUGGGCGCAUGGUACUGCCCGUUGUCCGGGAGGGCAGUGCAUACUGGAUCUACCAAGAGAGAUUUUCGUUUCUUAGUCACUCGGGUGGGGAAUGUUGAGGAGUUAUUGUUCUUAUCGAUAAACAUUUGUUAAUAUAAUCUUGUCUAUUGGUUAUGAUA